Molecule: non-coding RNA, 122 nt
Organism: Metarhizium robertsii ARSEF 23
Lineage: Eukaryota; Fungi; Ascomycota; Sordariomycetes; Hypocreales; Clavicipitaceae
Source: Rfam
GGGUGUGUGGUUUAGUGGUUAUAACAAUUAUGAAAUUAUCCUAGCCUAGUGCUAGGUCCUGGUAGCCAUCUGGUGCCAGCGUAAACAAUGAGAGGUCCGGGGUUCGAAUCCCUGCACAUCCA